UUUUGAAAAUUAUGAACGCCUGCUUGGUUUGUUGCUCUCUGUGUCUAUAAUGUUAGAAUGAACAAUGCCUCUCUUGAAUAAAGUAGUAAACUACUCAUAUUUCACAGUACAUAAUGCACACUACUGUACUUUGCAAUAUUUUUUCCACAUUCUUAAGUGCAUUACAAUGCAUGGCUUCGAUUUCUUCCAUUUUUCUUUCCUUUUUCAAAUUACUUUCCAAGAUAAUACCUGUCCUGUCAUUUUCUCCUGUCAUGUCGCGGUCUCGAGCCCAUCCCAGCUGGCAUAGGGCACAAGUCAGGACGAAAGUUUGGACGGGGCAAACACACACUAGGGUCAAUUUAGCAUUACCAGUUAACCUAACCUGCAUGUCUUUGGACAGUGGGAAGAAACCCACGCAGACACAUGGAGUACUUGCAAACUCCAUGCAGAGAGGACCAGGGACCAAGGACAUAAACUCUGGUCUCCAUACUGGGAGGCAGAAGUGCUACCACUGUGUCACUGUGCGUCAAUCAUUUCACACAUCAGCAUUCACCAGUGUCCCCCACACUGUUCAAAGACAAUCAGUUUAGGUAACAUGGCAGCUGAAAACUGCCCUGGAAUAAAUGACUGCACUUGCAGUUGACUCUACCAUGUGCUCGAUGCUGCCAGAAUGACCUGUGAAAAUGAAUGAAACAUUCUUGUUUUACUAAAUAAUUAGUAGAAAUUAUUUUAUGACGUAAUGCUUCUUCACAUAAACACAAGCACUUUCUUCACUUUUUGAUUACUGUAUUUCUGCUUCUAGGUUGACGUCGAUUAUUCAGACUAUAAUGAAACUACUCCUUUACAUGCUGCAACAAGAAACGGACACAGUGAUAUUAUAAAAUUCCUUUUGGCAAGAAGUGCUGACAUCAAUCAGACAGAUCGUUUUGGAGCAACACCCUUACAAUAUGCUAUUAACACAAGGAACACCACUAAUGUAAGAAUUUUGCGUCUGAAUGGAGGUGUUCUAUCCAUUCAUCCUGUGAGAAUUGGACUGGAACUUUGUAGUUUGGUAGCAAACAGGGAUUUCAAGGCUCUGGAAAGCUGGCACCUUUCUGGAGUUAAUUUUGACCAAAGUGAUUACAACGGGACAACUCCUCUGCAUGUUGCUGUACACAAUGGAGACCUAAUGAUGGUCGAAAAACUCCUUGCAUAUGGAGCCACUCCACUGACACUGGACAUAUGGGGACGGACACCAGUGGAUAUCGCCAGUAAUGUUGGUCACAAGAACAUCGUUGAAGUUUUAAAAGUGUGAAAGGCAGCAGAAGCAGAAAUUGAGAAACAAUCGGUUUUCGGAUUUAGAUAACCAGAAUCCAAGUUUCAUUGAAAGAAAGGUCUCCAAACUUAAGAAUUAACGUGGAUAAUAAAUUUGGGGAUUCUGAAUUAAAAUUAUAAAUAUAAAGCUGAGAAUAAAACAUGUUA
Erpetoichthys calabaricus (reedfish) is the source of this 1440-nucleotide long non-coding RNA. RefSeq lists it as uncharacterized. The transcript has 4 exons. The record is from RefSeq and is a predicted model, not a curated record. NCBI's taxonomy places the organism in Eukaryota, Metazoa, Chordata, Cladistia, Polypteriformes, Polypteridae.